UGGAUUUUGAAAUCAAUGAAUUAUGACAUCAUCAGUUGAGAACACUAAAUGCAGAACCACAUGGAGCACAUGCUAUCUCUCAAUUCAAAGAGAAUCUGUUUAAUGCAAUGUAGUGUCCUGGACUGUAUCCUGAACAGAACAAAGAUACUAAUGAAAAACCUGGGGAAAUCCAAAUAAAAUCUGAAGUUUAGUUAAUAAUUCACAAUGAUGUUAGCUUCUUAGUGGUGAUAAACAUGCUACGGCAACAUAAGAUGCUUUCAUUUCAGGAAACCGGUAAGAACAGACUGAAUUACCUCUGAAGAAAAAAUGAAAAGACACUGCGCAAGAUUUUAAUAAAGAGAGGAAAGCAUCCAAAAAGGGCUUUCUCUGGCCUAAAGAGUCCAUUUUGCCUACUGUCAUAGGACUUGAAAAUGAUCAUUCCCCACUCCCCAGCAAGACACAAGCAGGGGGAAUCUUUCUAAAGAGAAACUCUAACAUUUAUCCCAAGGCAGAAAAGAUGAUCACCACGGCACCAAACCUCCUCCGCUGCUCUGACAAAUACAGAGCCAGCCUCAUCUGGAGCAUUUCUGCCCUGAGCUCGCUCUCAGAAGCAGACAGAGGAACACACUGCAUUUCCACUGUGCUGAUUCACUGAACCUUUUGUGCAAGUACACGGGAAUGUUUGCUUCUUAGCUUGAAACCCUUCCAGCCGUGAUGACUGUGCCUCAGCCUGCCCUUUGUCCUCGCAGCUGCUGUCACGCGUGUGACACAAGAGAACACUGAUGCAGCCCUGGCCAUCAAUGGGCAUCAAGCCAGGCACUUCAUAUGCAUCCCCUUCAUUUCAUUCUCACAACAAAUCUGUGGCAGAUGAAAGCAUCGAGGCUCCAAAAGGUUACUAAUAAUCUGUCUGUGCUCAACCCUGGGAUGGGGCAGAGACUAGGUUUCCCCAGUGUCCUCAUGCCUAGUGGCUAGCUUAGCUGGCCUCAUAGAAUUGGCUCUUCAAAAACUCUUUGAUUAAAGUUUUUCUUCCCUAAAGAUUUCAACCGCAAUAUGCGAUAUGGUUACUCUAUAUGCUAGUUCUCCCUCAGACCCUCCCAGUGUUAUUUUCUCAAUUAACACUGAAAACAUAAACUCCAUGAGAGCAGGGACUAUCUCUAGCAGUGCUCUAUUUUUAGCACUUGAGGGGAAGAAAGCUUGGCAGAGUAGGUAUUCAUUUGCACAUAUUCAUUAUGCAUUUGUUGAAUGAAUAAAAUAUCCGGAAAACUGGGGCUGUUAAUGACAGUCAAUUUGGAAAACAGCAUGACCUGCAGAAGACCUGAAUGAUGUACUUGUUUUGCUCAUUUUCCUCAAAUUCAGUAGGUAAUUAUUCAUCUCCUAGCCUAAGUAGCACAGGACUAACUAGGAGAUAUCCAAUAAAUCAUUUAUGUACAACUCUGUGAAGCAGCUUUAUCUGCUGGCAACAGUAAAAGUCAGGUAGUCAUGGCUUUGCCAAAAAGAAACUACAUCAUUGUGGCCCAAUUUUAUCUCUGGCCCUUUGGCUUCUUCACAGGGGAAUGUGGAGGGUUUUGAUCUCUUGAAAUUCUUUCCCCUGUCCUAUCAAUUCAGUGAUUCCCACAGACUAUCUCAGAAAUUUCCAAGAAAUGUCACUUGUGUGCAUCAAUGCCUUUCUUCCAUCCUAAAAAUCCACAGUGUGGUUUCAGUCCAGCUCUUCCUAACCCCAGCAGAAACUGGGAACAUUCCUUCCCAUUCAAAAGCACAGAGCAAUUACAAUUUGCACUGACUGGCAACUCCCUGGCAUCAGUACCAUUUCUGCAACACAAUUAUUCCACCUUCCAUUCAUGUCUGUGCCCAACUACUCUGUAUGUCCACUUAAGGAGUGACAUUUGAAACUGUCAAACUGUUGCCUCCACGUGGUGUUGGAGUGCCUGAGGAAUUAGAUUUAAAGCAGAUAACUAACAUGAAUAUCAGAAGUGAAGAUGUUGAAGAAUUAAGCAAGCAUAGAAAUCAAGAAAACAAAUUCACAUUACAGACAAAUUUAAGUGUAAGUAAAGGAGAACCAAGACAUAGGCAAGAAGAAAAAUGCACACUACACACUAUGAUGGGCUUCAAUUCCUGAAACUGGAUAAUCUACUAUAACACAAAACUCUUGAAGAAAAAGCAAUUUUUUUCCUUGACUCAGUGUUCUACAUAACAGCAUUCCUUUUCUAUCAAGAAAAAUAUACUUCCAUCACUGCAAUGAAUAUGCAUGACUAUUUUACAUAGUAAGCAUGCAAUAAAUACUUCUUGAAUUAAUGAAUAAAUUUUCCCUGUCUAAUGUCUGCUGUGAAUUUUAAAGAUCUUAAAAAGGAAGGAGGGAGGAGACAAUGCUGUAUUUGUUUAUUUGAUGAGUAUCCAAUAUAUCACCAUUAAUUAGUGCUUUAAAAUGGCAAUCCUGACCUCAAUUAGUGUUUUUCCAAUAAAAUUAUUUACUAUUAUAAUACAGACAGUCUUUAAAAGUUAGAUCAUGGCAGACACUCGAAAACUUGUUUUUAAAAAGGUAAAGAAAUUUAACACAAACCACCAAGAAUCUUUUAGCCAGUAGCUAUUACCAAUAUUCUUUACUAAUCAGAAUUUUUCUUUUCUUUCUUUUUUUUUUUGAGACGGAGUUUCACUA
Molecule: long non-coding RNA, 2632 nt
Filed under: Homo sapiens (human)
Lineage: Eukaryota; Metazoa; Chordata; Mammalia; Primates; Hominidae
Description: HSALNT0353916
Source: RNAcentral